CCCUGCUCCUCCCAUUCUCUGGGACGCAGGCAGCUCACUUCCCUUCCCUGGGCCUGAGAAAAGGGCAAGAUCACGUGGCCGUAUCACACUGCAUGGACAGUGGGGGUGAACGCUUGGGGUCCCUCAGAGACAGUGUGGGGCAGUGGUCAGCCAGCGGGCUCUGUGCCCGGGAGCCUGCUUUGCAGCGGCUUUGGACCAACUGCAUAACCCUGGGUGAGUUAUUUCACCUCCCUGAGCCUCUUCCUGUCUGCAAAUCAGGGCUAGUUAUGGGCGCCCGCCCCUUAAGGUUGUUGUGAGGAUUAAACAAGUUCUUGUAAGUAAAGGGCUUAGAGCUCAACUGUAAGGGCCUGGGAGGUGUGACUGCGAUUGCAGCAAGAGGUGAGCUGGUGUGUGCCCGGAGCCAGAACGGAGCACUGAGCCGUUACAAGGAGCUCCGGACACCCUCCAUCCCAGCACCUGCCUUCCAGCUUGGAGCUUCUGUGCUGUGUGCCUGUGCGUGUCUUGUAUGUAUACAUAUGUGUGUGUGUGUGUGUGUGUGUGUGCAGGUUGUCCGUGUGUGACUAUGUGGAUGUGUGUAUCUGUGUGUCUGUAUGUGAGCAGGUUUGUGCCUGUUCCUGUGUGUGUGUGUGCAUAUGUGUGCAUGUGUGCACACAUGCUUGGGGCAAGGGCUGCUAGAGUCUGAAUUCAGAGCUGCUGGGAGUGGCUCAGCCCAGGAGGUGGCUCAGCCAAACCAAACAACCCCUGCGUUUCGAGCUCCAGGCUUUUCUCUGACUGUUUGCUUUCUUUCUCUCCUUUCCGGUUCCCCUUUAACUGGUUCCUGCUUCCAGUGAGCACAGCUGGGAGGGAGGCCCUGGCAGGGUAGGUACAGGGCCCUUCCCUUCCCUCUCUCCACAAGGUUUCGCACCCUCUGGCCUCCACCCCUGGUCCCAGCCUCACUGCCAGGGCCACAGAGGCCCCUUUCCUCUCUGAGCCUGUUUCCUGGUUCCUGCUCCCUCAGGGCUACAGUGAAGACGCCAUGCUUCUGGAGGCGAGCACCCUGAAAAAGAUGCAAACAGACGUGGGGGAAGAGACUGUUAGGGCCCCUCGCUCUGUGCCUCAGCCUUUCUCUCUGGGAAACGGGGAGAGGCCGUGCAGGUGUGAGAAGACUGGCCUGGAUGGAGAGGAACGAAGGAGGGGCUCCAGCUAAAGGAUGAAUAAAUACAGCCCAUAUUCUGCUCAGCAAACAUGCAUACAGAGAGCUGACUUCUGGAGCAUUUCAAAACCCAAGGAGAAAGCUCCCAGUGACACCAGACACUUAAAAAUAAAUAUAUUUCUAAA
Manis pentadactyla (Chinese pangolin) is the source of this 1317-nucleotide long non-coding RNA. RefSeq lists it as uncharacterized. The transcript is spliced from 3 exons. The record is from RefSeq and is a predicted model, not a curated record. NCBI's taxonomy places the organism in Eukaryota, Metazoa, Chordata, Mammalia, Pholidota, Manidae.